RNAcentral lists this ribosomal RNA (400 nucleotides) under uncultured bacterium. RNAcentral describes it as "bacterial SSU rRNA". It matches the Rfam family "Bacterial small subunit ribosomal RNA", at positions 355 to 748 of the family's 1533-position model. The record is from RNAcentral.
UGGGGAAUCUUGCGCAAUGGACGAAAGUCUGACGCAGCGACGCCGCGUGGGUGAUGAAGGCCUUCGGGUUGUAAAGCCCUGUGGGGAGAGACGAAUAAGUCGGGGAUAAUACCCCCGGUGAUGACUCCAUCUCCUUAGCAAGCACCGGCUAACUCUGUGCCAGCAGCCGCGGUAAGACAGAGGGUGCAAACGUUGUUCGGAAUUACUGGGCGUAAAGCGUGUGUAGGCGGUUCGGUAAGUUGGAUGUGAAAGCCCGGGGCUCAACCCCGGAAGUGCAUUCAAUACUGCUGAACUUGAGUCUCGGAGAGGUUGGUGGAAUUCUCGGUGUAGAGGUGAAAUUCGUAGAUAUCGAGAGGAACAUCGGUGGCGAAGGCGGCCAACUGGACGAAGACUGACGCUG